UGAGUUGCCUGGCUCUGAAGCCUUGCUCU
Molecule: non-coding RNA, 29 nt
Filed under: Mus musculus (house mouse)
Lineage: Eukaryota; Metazoa; Chordata; Mammalia; Rodentia; Muridae
Source: RNAcentral